GACGAACGCUGGCGGCGUGCUUAACACAUGCAAGUCGAACGGAAAGGCCCUGCUUUUGUGGGGUGCUCGAGUGGCGAACGGGUGAGUAACACGUGAGUAACCUGCCCUUGACUUUGGGAUAACUUCAGGAAACUGGGGCUAAUACCGGAUAGGAGCUCCUGCUGCAUGGUGGGGGUUGGAAAGUUUCGGCGGUUGGGGAUGGACUCGCGGCUUAUCAGCUUGUUGGUGGGGUAGUGGCUUACCAAGGCUUUGACGGGUAGCCGGCCUGAGAGGUUGACCGGCAAACUGGGGAAUAAGAACGGCCCCAGACGCCUACGGGGGACGGCAGUGGGAAAUAGUGCAAAGUGGGGGGAAGCUUAAGACAGCAACCCCGCGUGCGGGAUGACGGCCUGCGGGUUGUAAACCGCUUUCGCCUGGAACGAAGCGGGAGUGAGGGAAGUGGAUAAAGAGGCACCGGCUAGCUACGGG
Molecule: ribosomal RNA, 468 nt
Filed under: uncultured bacterium
Lineage: Bacteria
Description: partial 16S ribosomal RNA
Rfam family: Bacterial small subunit ribosomal RNA
Source: RNAcentral